RNAcentral lists this ribosomal RNA (379 nucleotides) under uncultured eukaryote. RNAcentral describes it as "partial 18S ribosomal RNA". It matches the Rfam family "Eukaryotic small subunit ribosomal RNA", at positions 592 to 976 of the family's 1831-position model. The record is from RNAcentral.
CAAUAGCGUAUAUUUAAGUUGUUGCAGUUAAAAAGCUCGUAGUUGGAUUUCGGGUAGGAUUUGCCGGUCCGUCUUUGAGAUGUGUACUGGUAAGUCCUAUCUUCUUGUCGGGGACCAGCUCCUGGGCUUCACUGUCCGGGACUGGGAGCCGACGAAGUUACUUUGAGUAAAUUAGAGUGUUCAAAGCAAGCCUACGCUCUGAAUAUAUUAGCAUGGAAUAACACGAUAGGACUCUGGCUUAUCUUGUUGGUCUGUGAGACCAGAGUAAUGAUUAAGAGGGACAGUCGGGGACAUUCGUAUUUCAUUGUCAGAGGUGAAAUUCUUGGAUUUAUGAAAGACGAACUACUGCGAAAGCAUUUGCCAAGGAUGUUUUCAUUAA